RNAcentral lists this ribosomal RNA (253 nucleotides) under uncultured bacterium. RNAcentral describes it as "partial 16S ribosomal RNA". It matches the Rfam family "Bacterial small subunit ribosomal RNA", at positions 524 to 776 of the family's 1533-position model. The record is from RNAcentral.
UACGUAGGGAGCAAGCGUUGUCCGGAAUCAUUGGGCGUAAAGAGCGCGUAGGCGGCCCUGUAAGUCCGUUCUGAAAGUCGGAGGCUCAACCUCCGAAAGCGGAUGGAUACUGCAGGGCUAGAGUCCGGAAGAGGCGAGUGGAAUUCCUGGUGUAGCGGUGGAAUGCGCAGAUAUCAGGAGGAACACCAACGGCGAAGGCAGCUCGCUGGGACGGUACUGACGCUGAGGCGCGAAAGCGUGGGUAGCAAACAGG